Molecule: long non-coding RNA, 1334 nt
Organism: Ictalurus punctatus (channel catfish)
Lineage: Eukaryota; Metazoa; Chordata; Actinopteri; Siluriformes; Ictaluridae
Source: Ensembl
GUUGAUGACCAAAAUGAUCAUGCCUUAGGGAGCCGAUGAGGUUUUUAUAACAGGGAAAAUGAAAACAGACGAACAUAAGGGAACGGGGGAAAAACUUAAAAGAGAAACGUAACGGGCAUGAGAAAAAAACUGAAACAUAAACAUAUUGCGCUGGGAAAAACAGCAGCGCCUCCGGGCCCAUUUAGUUGCCGAAUGGGGGGGGGGGGGGGGGUUACUUUAUAUGUGAACAUCAUUUACAGUAUUGUGCAAAAGUUUUAGGCACCCUACUUUUUUUUUUUUAGCACAAACUUUGUUAUGGAUUUUUUUUUAUCUUAUGACUUCUACAUUAUCGAGUCAGUACAAAAACAUUUGAGAUUUCCAAACAUUAGUUUUCCAGCACAAAAUGAAAUGUUAGUAAAUGGUCUGCGCUUAUAUAGCGCUCUUUUUUUAACCUUAGCAGUUCCAAAGCGCUUUACACUGGUUCUCAUUUACCCAUUCACACACCAAUGGUAGCAGAUGUGCCAUGCAAGGCGCUAGCUUCAGCGUCUUGCCCAAGGACACUUCGGCAUGUGGAGUCGUGUGGGGUGGGAAUCGAACCGCCAACCCUACGGUUAGCAGGUUGAAUAGCGGACCCUACGGUUAGCAGGUUGAUCAGCGGAGUCUACGGUUAGCAGGUUGAUUGACCCGCUCUACCACCUGAGCCACAGCCACCCUAUGUUACCGAAAAAUGUUUUUAUGUAAGUAAUGAAAGCAGUAUAUUACAUAAGAGACCACUUUUCAGACAAAAAACACAAUGAAGGCUGCUGGGUUUUGCUGCAAAAAUAAGAAGCGAGUGCGACAGUCAAAGUCUCCAGAAGAACCGUGUCUGGAUCUGCAAAAUGCUCAAUAAAACUUAACAGCUUAUUUCCUUAUAAAACUACACAAACUGUACCAGACUAUUUCAUUUUUUCAUUUACUACUGUUUACGGUAUUUUUUUAAAAAUGUAGAAACAUUUAAUUUCAAAGCAUUGUCAAAACAUUUAAAGGCAUCUUUGCAGCAUUCCUUUGCAUGUACCUAAAACUUUUGCACAGUACUGUAAGCUUUUAACAUGUUGGAUGUGGGAACACUCAUUACUACUUAAUGUACAAUCUGUAUUUUUAGAGAAUGUCCAUAUUAUUGUCUGCCUCUUUUGUUGUAGGAACUUAUGUUAAUCAGCCUUAUCCUCUAUGCUGCGUGUUUAUGAAGUGAUCGUGACCCAGAUGCCAUGGCAAAAAGAUACAUUAACAUCAUACACAGAGUAUCCACUACAUUAUACAUUGCAUUGCUGAGGAUUGUCAAAAGAGACCCAGAGAUAGUAGCAGUAGUAGAAAUAGCA